This is a long non-coding RNA of Antechinus flavipes (yellow-footed antechinus), 1369 nucleotides long. RefSeq lists it as uncharacterized. The record is from RefSeq and is a predicted model, not a curated record. Lineage: Eukaryota; Metazoa; Chordata; Mammalia; Dasyuromorphia; Dasyuridae. The transcript has 4 exons.
AGGACAGCCAAAAUCCAAGCUUGUGAGGAGGAGCCCAGCACACAGGAAACAGCUUGCUAGCCCACUCACUCAUAGCGUCUUACCAUCCAGCAGGGAGGGAGCAGCCCUGUAAGAAGCCCCAGCUCACCAAAAAGGACGGCAGGAACCCUGAGAGCAGCAGAAUUUAAUGACAACAUGAGGUGUGGACCAGCCUCGACAGCCCCUUUAAGGAAAUGGAGACAAAAAUAAAAUCCAAGGAGAUCUCGGGCAGGUUCUGUUGGCACCUCCAAAGAAAAGAUGAGGUUACAUGUGUAUGCAGGACUUUUUGAUCUUCCUAUAAUGCAUCCAUACACACAAUAUUAAGGCACCACCUUGGAGACUACAGAAUCUAGAGCAUAAAGGAAAUCCAGAUUUAUAGGAAUUCCCCCCAAAAUGGAGGCUCUGAUCCACAAAAGACAAGGUGAAAUCUCACCUAAGGGCAGAGGAAAACUUCACAAAACAAAAGAAACUGUGAUUGACCCAGUGAGACCAACAGAGGGCCCAGCUGCCUACCAGGGGAUGGCCACAUCCAGUUAUCUUUCCAGCUCAGGAAAACUAUUCUAGUGAAGGUGAAGCAUCUAGAUUGCAAGAAAGAGCAAAGCUAAAAUUCAGGCCCUUCCCAAAAAGAGAGUGUCCUAAUUAGUAGGAUUAUGAACAUGAAAGCCAACAACUGAUGUGUUCAUUAUAAUAACCAAAUUUAGCACCCAAAGUCCAGAAACUGUAUCUCCCACCCUUCACUGGAAGAUAUAGUUAUGGAGCAUUGCAUACUGUAUGUAUACAAUCAGACAAUGCCAACAAGUUGUUUGCUUUUUCCCUUUCAUUUUUAAUCUCUGUUACAAGAAAUGACUUUCAGGGGACAAAUAUUUAGAAAUAAAUGUACCAUCAGUUAAAAAAUAAAGAGAAAGAAUCCAACAGGUGGACCUAAAUAAAACUUGAAGGAGUAGGUGGCUAGGGAGUACAAUGGAUAAAGUACUACGCCCAAAGUCAGAAAGUCUUUUCCCAAAUUCAAAUCUGGCCUCAGACACUUACUAGCUAGGUGGUGAUCCUGGGCAAAUUAUUAACCCUGCAGUAAUGGGCUGAAACUCUUAAAGCAUUCAUUGCAUUAAGGCCCCAAGCACUUGACGUUGAUUAGCAAUUGGACAAUACUCUAUUAAUAUAUGCUUGGAGAAAGAAUGGCCCCGCCUACUCUCUGUGCAAGUUGGGUGUGUUGUAUAGGAGAUUGCAGAAGAUUUGGUGGAUGGAGCGAGAGAGGCAGGGGCAUUGGUGGCUGGGUUUUGUCGCGACUGCUCUCACUUCGUAUCACCAUUCCCUUUCACCUCUGCAAAGAAUAAAGAUCAAGGAUUUUCCUUUA